GAUGAACGCUGGCGGCGUGCUUAACACAUGCAAGUCGAACGAUGAUCCGGUGCUUGCACCGGGGAUUAGUGGCGAACGGGUGAGUAACACGUGAGUAACCUGCCCUUAACUCUGGGAUAAGCCUGGGAAACUGGGUCUAAUACCGGAUAUGACCUUCCAUCGCAUGGUGGUUGGUGGAAAGCUUUUUGUGGUUUGGAUGGACUCGCGGCCUAUCAGCUUGUUGGUGAGGUAANGGCUUACCAAGGCGACGACGGGUAGCCGGCCUGAGA
This 269-nucleotide ribosomal RNA is filed under the name uncultured bacterium. RNAcentral describes it as "partial 16S ribosomal RNA". It matches the Rfam family "Bacterial small subunit ribosomal RNA", at positions 28 to 297 of the family's 1533-position model. The record is from RNAcentral.